AGCGUACACGGUGGAUGCCCUGGCAGUCAGAGGCGAUGAAGGACGUGCUAAUCUGCGAUAAGCGUCGGUGAGGUGAUAUGAACCGUUAUAACCGGCGAUUUCCGAAUGGGGAAACCCAGUGUGUAUGGGGAAACCCAGUGUGUUUCGACACACUAUCAUUAACUGAAUCCAUAGGUUAAUGAGGCGAACCGGGGGAACUGAAACAUCUAAGUACCCCGAGGAAAAGAAAUCAACCGAGAUUCCCCCAGUAGCGGCGAGCGAACGGGGAGGAGCCCAGAGCCUGAAUCAGUGUGUGUGUUAGUGGAAGCGUCUGGAAAGGCGUGCGAUACAGGGUGACAGCCCCGUACACAAAAAUGCACAUAUUGUGAGCUCGAUGAGUAGGGCGGGACACGUGGUAUCCUGUCUGAAUAUGGGGGGACCAUCCUCCAAGGCUAAAUACUCCUGACUGACCGAUAGUGAACCAGUACCGUGAGGGAAAGGCGAAAAGAACCCCGGCGAGGGGAGUGAAAAAGAACCUGAAACCGUGUACGUACAAGCAGUGGGAGCCUCUUAAUGGGGUGACUGCGUACCUUUUGUAUAAUGGGUCAGCGACUUAUAUUCUGUAGCAAGGUUAACCGAAUAGGGGAGCCGAAGGGAAACCGAGUCUUAACUGGGCGUUAAGUUGCAGGGUAUAGACCCGAAACCCGGUGAUCUAGCCAUGGGCAGGUUGAAGGUUGGGUAACACUAACUGGAGGACCGAACCGACUAAUGUUGAAAAAUUAGCGGAUGACUUGUGGCUGGGGGUGAAAGGCCAAUCAAACCGGGAGAUAGCUGGUUCUCCCCGAAAGCUAUUUAGGUAGCGCCUCGUGAAUUCAUCUCCGGGGGUAGAGCACUGUUUCGGCAAGGGGGUCAUCCCGACUUACCAACCCGAUGCAAACUGCGAAUACCGGAGAAUGUUAUCACGGGAGACACACGGCGGGUGCUAACGUCCGUCGUGAAGAGGGAAACAACCCAGACCGCCAGCUAAGGUCCCAAAGUCAUGGUUAAGUGGGAAACGAUGUGGGAAGGCCCAGACAGCCAGGAUGUUGGCUUAGAAGCAGCCAUCAUUUAAAGAAAGCGUAAUAGCUCACUGGUCGAGUCGGCCUGCGCGGAAGAUGUAACGGGGCUAAACCAUGCACCGAAGCUGCGGCAGCGACACUAUGUGUUGUUGGGUAGGGGAGCGUUCUGUAAGCCUGUGAAGGUGGCCUGUGAGGGUUGCUGGAGGUAUCAGAAGUGCGAAUGCUGACAUAAGUAACGAUAAAGCGGGUGAAAAGCCCGCUCGCCGGAAGACCAAGGGUUCCUGUCCAACGUUAAUCGGGGCAGGGUGAGUCGACCCCUAAGGCGAGGCCGAAAGGCGUAGUCGAUGGGAAACAGGUUAAUAUUCCUGUACUUGGUGUUACUGCGAAGGGGGGACGGAGAAGGCUAUGUUGGCCGGGCGACGGUUGUCCCGGUUUAAGCGUGUAGGCUGGUUUUCCAGGCAAAUCCGGAAAACCAAGGCUGAGGCGUGAUGACGAGGCACUACGGUGCUGAAGCGACAAAUGCCCUGCUUCCAGGAAAAGCCUCUAAGCAUCAGGUAACAUCAAAUCGUACCCCAAACCGACACAGGUGGUCAGGUAGAGAAUACCAAGGCGCUUGAGAGAACUCGGGUGAAGGAACUAGGCAAAAUGGUGCCGUAACUUCGGGAGAAGGCACGCUGAUAUGUAGGUGAAGCGACUUGCUCGUGGAGCUGAAAUCAGUCGAAGAUACCAGCUGGCUGCAACUGUUUAUUAAAAACACAGCACUGUGCAAACACGAAAGUGGACGUAUACGGUGUGACGCCUGCCCGGUGCCGGAAGGUUAAUUGAUGGGGUUAGCGGCAACGCGAAGCUCUUGAUCGAAGCCCCGGUAAACGGCGGCCGUAACUGAAGCCCCGGUAAACGGCGGCCGUAACUAUAACGGUCCUAAGGUAGCGAAAUUCCUUGUCGGGUAAGUUCCGACCUGCACGAAUGGCGUAAUGAUGGCCAGGCUGUCUCCACCCGAGACUCAGUGAAAUUGAACUCGCUGUGAAGAUGCAGUGUACCCGCGGCAAGACGGAAAGACCCCGUGAACCUUUACUAUAGCUUGACACUGAACAUUGAGCCUUGAUGUGUAGGAUAGGUGGGAGGCUUUGAAGUGUGGACGCCAGUCUGCAUGGAGCCGACCUUGAAAUACCACCCUUUAAUGUUUGAUGUUCUAACGUUGGCCCGUAAUCCGGGUUGCGGACAGUGUCUGGUGGGUAGUUUGACUGGGGCGGUCUCCUCCUAAAGAGUAACGGAGGAGCACGAAGGUUGGCUAAUCCUGGUCGGACAUCAGGAGGUUAGUGCAAUGGCAUAAGCCAGCUUGACUGCGAGCGUGACGGCGCGAGCAGGUGCGAAAGCAGGUCAUAGUGAUCCGGUGGUUCUGAAUGGAAGGGCCAUCGCUCAACGGAUAAAAGGUACUCCGGGGAUAACAGGCUGAUACCGCCCAAGAGUUCAUAUCGACGGCGGUGUUUGGCACCUCGAUGUCGGCUCAUCACAUCCUGGGGCUGAAGUAGGUCCCAAGGGUAUGGCUGUUCGCCAUUUAAAGUGGUACGCGAGCUGGGUUUAGAACGUCGUGAGACAGUUCGGUCCCUAUCUGCCGUGGGCGCUGGAGAACUGAGGGGGGCUGCUCCUAGUACGAGAGGACCGGAGUGGACGCAUCACUGGUGUUCGGGUUGUCAUGCCAAUGGCACUGCCCGGUAGCUAAAUGCGGAAGAGAUAAGUGCUGAAAGCAUCUAAGCACGAAACUUGCCCCGAGAUGAGUUCUCCCUGACCUUCU
Molecule: ribosomal RNA, 2832 nt
Filed under: Escherichia coli TOP293-4
Lineage: Bacteria; Pseudomonadati; Pseudomonadota; Gammaproteobacteria; Enterobacterales; Enterobacteriaceae
Description: bacterial LSU rRNA
Rfam family: Bacterial large subunit ribosomal RNA
Source: RNAcentral